Molecule: ribosomal RNA, 253 nt
Filed under: uncultured bacterium
Lineage: Bacteria
Description: partial 16S ribosomal RNA
Rfam family: Bacterial small subunit ribosomal RNA
Source: RNAcentral
UACGGAGGGCGCGAGCGUUAAUCGGAAUUACUGGGCGUAAAGCGCGCGUAGGCUGUUGUGUAAGUUGGGGGUGAAAUCCCACGGCUCAACCGUGGAACAGCCCUUGAUACUGCGCGACUUGAAUCCGGGAGAGGGUGGCGGGAUUCCAGGUGUAGGAGUGAAAUCCGUAGAUAUCUGGAGGAACAUCAGUGGCGAAGGCGGCCACCUGGACCGGUAUUGACGCUGAGGCGCGAAAGCGUGGGGAGCAAACAGG